GAUGAACGCUGGCGGCGGGCUUAACACAUGCAAGUCGAACGGGAUCAAAGGGGGGUUUGCCUUUUUUGGGAGGGGUGUGGACGGGGGGGGAACAAGGUAAGUAACUGUUCUUUUUCUUGGGGGUAACCGUUGGAAAGGUUGUUAAAACCCUUAUUUCCUUCUUCCCUCGAAUGGGGGGGGUGGUAAGGCCUUGGGCGGGUUUUGGGUGGGCUGGCGGGGUAUCGGCUUGUUGGGGGGGUGAUGGCUUACAAAGGCUUUGCGGGGUAGCGGUCCUGAGAGGGUGGUCGGUCACAUUGGGACUGAGAUACGGCCCAGACGCCUGCGGGAGGCAGCAGUGGGGGAUAUUGGACAAUGGGCGAAAGCCUGAUGCAGCGACGCCGCGUGGGGGAUGAAGGCCUUCGGGUUGUAAACGUCUUUUGCUCUGAACAAGGCAUGCCAGUGGGUGUGUUGAGUGUAGGGGUGGAUUAGCGCCGGCUAACUACGUG
Molecule: ribosomal RNA, 485 nt
Filed under: uncultured bacterium
Lineage: Bacteria
Description: partial 16S ribosomal RNA
Rfam family: Bacterial small subunit ribosomal RNA
Source: RNAcentral